GGUGCAUUCCAUACUUGUCCAGUGGAUGAGAGCACUUUGGGAGGGUGAAGACUUUAUGGAUUCUCUGCUCUUCCACGGCCACUCCUUGCCGCAGGACGUUGGCUGCUGUAGGCGGCACCACCAGAUUCUCUUGCUGAAGCUCCGGCUGGAUUCUCAUAAGGGUUCCACCACAUCUGGCCCCUUGAUGUUGGGGUGAGAGUAGCUCCCUAAGGAAAAGUUGACUACCAGAUGCCUGUUACCAUGGCUCCAGAGCCCACUAAAGCUUUGAGUUCCUCCAGGAGAGGGUGGGUUUUGGCAGCUCCCCCUCCUGUUCAAACAACCCAGAAGCCAGGACACACCCUGCUGAUUUAGGAACGCUGGAGAGGAGCAUUUGCUGGA
This is a long non-coding RNA of Cervus elaphus (red deer), 378 nucleotides long. RefSeq lists it as uncharacterized. The transcript has 3 exons. NCBI's taxonomy places the organism in Eukaryota, Metazoa, Chordata, Mammalia, Artiodactyla, Cervidae. The record is from RefSeq and is a predicted model, not a curated record.